AGCUGGCUCACGUUCGACUCGCGUUCGGCUCGAUAUUUGGCUCGCUCGAGCUCGACUCGAAAUUAAAUGAGCCGAGCUUGAACAAAAUAAAAGGCUCGAAAUUCAUUUCAAGCCGAAUUUGAGCUGACAUAAGCUCGCUCGAGCUCGGCUCGUUUUUGUUGGGAAUCCGGUACUUGCUCCGGUACCGGAUCUCGUGAAUCCGCAAUCCGCUCCGAUACCGACUGCUGUGGAUCCGGUAUCGAUUGUUGGGAUUCCGCAACGGAAACGUUAAAUCGGGUUUUUACCAUAAACCCGUCUCAGCAAAAGCUGAUACAAUCAUAAAAGAGAAAAAUAUGCAGGUAAAAUAAGAUUCAUUAAAUAAGAGAAGAUUACACCUGACUCCUCUUCUACACAGAGUAGCUACAACCCGAGCCCUCUUUCUGAAUCUCUUCUACCCUUCUCUCGUCUUCUAUAAACCCAUAAAGAAGACAAUCCUUCACAUGCACCCGUACACUAGGUGCACUCAAAGCAUAAUUAAAUAACUCUCUCUCUCUCUCUUUUUUUUUCUCUCUCUGGUACGGCACCCAAGAGGCAUUUUCUCUCUCUCCGGUACUCACCUCAAAAAGCAAACCCACAAAGAGCUAUUUAUAAGGCUCCACCAAAACGUACCCCAAUCCUAAUAUAUUUAGGAUUUCUACUCCAAUUAAUAUCUAAAUCUAUCUUAAUCAAUCUCUAAUAGAUUUAAAUAUUAAUCCUAAUCUAGUUAGGUUUAUCCUCUAAUUAAUAUUUAAAUCUUAAUUUACUUCAACAAAUUUAAAUAUUAAUUCUUAUCUAAAUAGGAUUCAACUACAAAUCUAACCAAAAUCCUAACAGUUUCCACCCCUACUUAGAUUUGGUUUUUCUCGAUGUACGAGGCAGUUAAUUGGAAAAAUAAAAAGGUUUAGAAUCUAUGUGUAGGCCUGACAAACAGGCGGAUUGGAUAACCACAGGGUGGGCCAUUGUAUCCGGGGGUUAGCUGGGUAUGGAGAAAAUUUAUCUAUAAAUUUUUGGAUAAUCAACAUCUUUAUCCAUACUCGCCCACAAGCUGGCGGGUAGGUAUGCGGGUUACUGUUAAGUUAUUUUUUUACUCUUAUACUUUCCAAAUGCAAAAUACGUAUAUAAGAUUUUUAAAACCACAACAUAACUUUUUAUUUAAAAUAUCAUAAUAUAUAAUAAACAAUAUAAAAUCUUAAAAAUACAUACAUCACAUAAUAUAAAAAUACUUUAUUAUCCUAACUUUUCAUGAUACAAAACUAAUAAAAUUUUUAUCAUUAUAGAGUUAAUAUUAUAAAGAUUACAUAUUUUUUAAUUUAAAAAAUAUAUAUGCUGGUAUCAAUGGGUACCCACCAGUUGUCCAAAAUGUCCACCACUCAACGGGUACCCAUCCAUUUUAUCAAUAAAUUUUUACGUAAAAAAAUUAAUAUCCAUAUCUGCAAAUUUGCGAAUAACCCAUGAGUAUUCACGAAUAUGGGUGGAGAUUGACAAGUCUAUCAGUGGGUCCUUCCGGAGAAUUGUUUAUUGGACAGAGCGUGAAAACUUUUUUUCUUUUUUUUUUUUUAGUGUGAAGGUUUUGAAGUUGAUGGGAUAUAAGAUGCUAUCUACAGGAAUUGGAGGGUAAAAAGUGUGCAGUUUGGCCGAAAUGCGGCUCUUUAGCAUAGUUAGUUAAUUCGGAUUCGGCAAAAAUUCGAUACAGAUAUAAUUCGAAUAAAAUUCGUCUUUUAAUUCUAAAAUUUAUUGAAAAAUACGGCUAAAAAACGGAUUCGCCAAUUAUUCGGAUACGUGAUUUAUACGGAUUUUAUACGUUCACCAAUUAAAAAUUCGGGAUCAAAAAUUCGGCUAUUAAAUUAAAUUUUUUUCUCUCAAGAUUUAUGCUAUUAACAUCAAUUAAUACUCAUAUUUUUAAAAAAUAUAAGAAUAAAAA
RNAcentral lists this long non-coding RNA (1939 nucleotides) under Ananas comosus (pineapple). RNAcentral describes it as "long non-coding RNA (ACOM_LNC002319)". Lineage: Eukaryota; Viridiplantae; Streptophyta; Magnoliopsida; Poales; Bromeliaceae. The record is from RNAcentral.